UUUAUUGGGUGUAAGACCGGGGGGUUAGCCCUGAGGUGGUUGGACCCAACCGACUAUUGUGUGGAGUACUUCUUCUUCGAGUAGUUAGGGGGGUGGAACCUCCCUCUGGCAGACCCAUCCUAGCCUUUAUUGGAUGUAAGACCGGGGGUGAGCCCUGAGAAGGUGGAGGUGCUCCGAGUGCUUUGCGAAGGAUGAUGCAUUGGAAGCUCAAGUGCUUUCCUUUGGGGUGCAGGAAGCAUUUUGAAUGGAGUUUCUGAUCCCCCACAGAGUUCAGGGCCUCAACGCGGUCGGCACGGGGUAAACUUUAUGCAUCACAAGGUUGGGUUGGGGACAGAAGUUCAGGGGUUAGGGCAGGGGGCUGAGGGCACUCCCUGCUGGCCCCGUCGCGUCCCGUUGCCAUCCCUAUGGGUGAAUGGCGACGUUGGCAGUGGCUUGAUCAUGAUGGCCGGCGACGGUGAUACUGUUUUUUUUAUGCUAGCGCUUUUGUAGCAGUGACACCACUAUCU
Long non-coding RNA from Panicum virgatum (switchgrass), 506 nucleotides. RefSeq lists it as uncharacterized. The transcript has 3 exons. The record is from RefSeq and is a predicted model, not a curated record. NCBI's taxonomy places the organism in Eukaryota, Viridiplantae, Streptophyta, Magnoliopsida, Poales, Poaceae.